This 229-nucleotide ribosomal RNA is filed under the name Salmonella enterica subsp. enterica serovar Anatum. RNAcentral describes it as "partial 16S ribosomal RNA". It matches the Rfam family "Bacterial small subunit ribosomal RNA", at positions 1029 to 1258 of the family's 1533-position model. The record is from RNAcentral. Lineage: Bacteria; Pseudomonadati; Pseudomonadota; Gammaproteobacteria; Enterobacterales; Enterobacteriaceae.
GUGAGACAGGUGCUGCAUGGCUGUCGUCAGCUCGUGUUGUGAAAUGUUGGGUUAAGUCCCGCAACGAGCGCAACCCUUAUCCUUUGUUGCCAGCGAUUAGGUCGGGAACUCAAAGGAGACUGCCAGUGAUAAACUGGAGGAAGGUGGGGAUGACGUCAAGUCAUCAUGGCCCUUACGACCAGGGCUACACCCGUGCUACAAUGGCGCAUACAAAGAGAAGCGACCUCGC